This 1523-nucleotide ribosomal RNA is filed under the name uncultured Verrucomicrobiota bacterium. RNAcentral describes it as "bacterial SSU rRNA". It matches the Rfam family "Bacterial small subunit ribosomal RNA". Lineage: Bacteria; Pseudomonadati; Verrucomicrobiota. The record is from RNAcentral.
UAGAGUUUGAUCAUGGCUCAGAACGAACGCUGGCGGCGUGGAUAAGACAUGCAAGUCGAACGAUCAUUGGCGGGUAGCAAUAUUCGACAAUGGUAGUGGCGUAAGGGUGCGUAACACGUGGGCAAUUUGCCGCGAGGACUGGGAUAACCUUCCGAAAGGUCGGCUAAUACCGGAUGUGGCUGUCUGAGGGAUUCCUCGGGCAUUCAAAGUUGGGGACCGCAAGGCCUGACGCUUCGCGAUAAGCCCGCGACCUAUCAGCUAGUUGGUGAGGUAACGGCUCACCAAGGCUAAGACGGGUAGCUGGUCUGAGAGGACGACCAGCCACACUGGAACUGAGACACGGUCCAGACACCUACGGGUGGCAGCAGUCGAGAAUUUUUCACUAUGGGCGCAAGCCUGAUGGAGCGACGCCGCGUGGGGGAUGAAUGGCUUCGGCCCGUAAACCCCUGUCAUUUGCGAUCAAACCUCGUUGUUUAAGAGACGGCGAGCUGAUAGUAGCGAAAGAGGAAGGGACGGCUAACUCUGUGCCAGCAGCCGCGGUAAUACAGAGGUCCCAAGCGUUGUUCGGAUUCACUGGGCGUAAAGGGUGCGUAGGCGGUCGGAUAAGUCUGAUGUGAAAUCCCGGAGCUCAACUCCGAAACUGCAUCGGAAACUAUCUGGCUGGAGGAAUGGAGGGGAGACUGGAAUGCUCGGUGUAGCAGUGAAAUGCGUAGAUAUCGAGCGGAACACCAGUGGCGAAGGCGAGUCUCUGGACAUUUCCUGACGCUGAGGCACGAAAGCCAGGGGAGCAAACGGGAUUAGAUACCCCGGUAGUCCUGGCCCUAAACGGUGCGCGUUUGCUGUGAGAGGAUUCGACCCCUUUCGUGGCGAAGCUAACGCGUUAAACGCGCCGCCUGGGGAGUACGGCCGCAAGGUUAAAACUCAAAGAAAUUGACGGGGGCCUGCACAAGCGGUGGAGUAUGUGGCUUAAUUCGAUGCAACGCGAAGAACCUUACCUGGCCUUGACAUGCAUGUAGUAGAACCCUGAAAGGGGGACGAGGUAGCAAUACCAGCAUGCACAGGUGCUGCAUGGCUGUCGUCAGCUCGUGUCGUGAGAUGUUGGGUUAAGUCCCGCAACGAGCGCAACCCCUGUAUCCAGUUGCCACCCGGCUGAGAGGCUGGAGCACUUUGGAUAGACUGCCUCGCUUCAACGAGGAGGAAGGUGGGGAUGACGUCAAGUCAGUAUGGCCCUUACGGCCAGGGCUGCACACGUACUACAAUGCCCGGCACAAAGGGACGCAAAAGCGCAAGCUCGAGCAAAUCCCAUAAAACCGGGCCCAGUUCAGAUUGCCGUCUGCGACUCGACGGCAUGAAGCCGGAAUCGCUAGUAAUGGCGCAUCAGCUACGGCGCCGUGAAUACGUUCCCAGGCCUUGUACACACCGCCCGUCACAUCAUGAAAGCCGGUUGUACCCGAAGUCGUCCUUCAAAAGACGCCGAAGGUAUGGCUGGUGAUUGGGAUGAAGUCGUAACAAGGUAACCGUAA